RNAcentral lists this ribosomal RNA (253 nucleotides) under uncultured bacterium. Its description in RNAcentral is "partial 16S ribosomal RNA". It matches the Rfam family "Bacterial small subunit ribosomal RNA", at positions 524 to 776 of the family's 1533-position model. The record is from RNAcentral.
UACGGGGGGGGCAAGCGUUGUUCGGAAUUACUGGGCGUAAAGGGCUCGUAGGCGGCCAACUAAGACAGACGUGAAAUCCCUCGGCUUAACCGGGGAACUGCAUCUGAUACUGGAUGGCUUGAGAUUGGGAGAGGGAUGCGGAAUUCCAGGUGUAGCGGUGAAAUGUGUAGAUAUCUGGAGGAACACCGGUGGCGAAGGCGGCAUCCUGGACCAACACUGACGCUGAGGAGCGAAAGCCAGGGGAGCAAACGGG